GGAAAACAAGCAAUGGAUUCUGAAAAGAAAUUGGUUACCGCACAUUUCUUAAACAGAUUAACAUAGUUCCAUUUAUGAAGUAUGUUAAAGGCUUUCAUGUACAAACUGGUGGCAUUCACAGUAGUAAAACAGAAAAAGGAAACUGUAUUACCAUGCAUGUAAUGUGUUAAUAUGUUUUUCCUAGUCAAAUUUGUAAUGACCGACAAACACACAGACUGGAGGCCAAAGUGAGAAACACAAAAUUGUAUGGCUCCUCAUUUCAUUGCCUGAAACCGAGAAGCUGGAUAAGUGAUGAGGUUAUUGAUGCAUAUUUGAGCUGUGUGGUCGAGAAAGCAGAUGGAAAGGUACAAGCCAUCUCAUCAGUAGUUUCUACUAAUCAUUCUCUCAGGCAGAGCUCCACAAAUGAAAGUG
Molecule: non-coding RNA, 411 nt
Organism: Chrysemys picta bellii (western painted turtle)
Lineage: Eukaryota; Metazoa; Chordata; Testudines; Emydidae
Source: RefSeq, a predicted model, not a curated record